GACGAACGCUGGCGGCGUGCCUAAUACAUGCAAGUAGAACGCUGAAGAGAGGAGCUUGCUCUUCUUGGAUGAGUUGCGAACGGGUGAGUAACGCGUAGGUAACCUGCCUUGUAGCGGGGGAUAACUAUUGGAAACGAUAGCUAAUACCGCAUCAAUGGAUGACACAUGUCAUUUAUUUGAAAGGGGCAAUUGCUCCACUACAAGAUGGACCUGCGUUGUAUUAGCUAGUAGGUGAGGUAAUGGCUCACCUAGGCGACGAUACAUAGCCGACCUGAGAGGGUGGUCGGCCACACUGGGACUGAGACACGGCCCAGACUCCUACGGGAGGCAGCAGUAGGGAAUCUUCGGCAAUGGGGGCAACCCUGACCGAGCAACGCCGCGUGAGUGAAGAAGGUUUUCGGAUCGUAAAGCUCUGUUGUAAGUCAAGAACGGGUGUGAGAGUGGAAAGUUCACACUGUGACGGUAGCUUACCAGAAAGGGACGGCUAACUACGUG
Molecule: ribosomal RNA, 495 nt
Filed under: uncultured bacterium
Lineage: Bacteria
Description: partial 16S ribosomal RNA
Rfam family: Bacterial small subunit ribosomal RNA
Source: RNAcentral